Long non-coding RNA from Oncorhynchus tshawytscha (Chinook salmon), 1983 nucleotides. Lineage: Eukaryota; Metazoa; Chordata; Actinopteri; Salmoniformes; Salmonidae. The record is from Ensembl.
UAUCAAUACUGGGAAGACAGAAACAGGCUCAGAAAUUAAGAGAAGGAGAGAGAGAGACAGAGACAGAGACAGAGACAGAGAGAAAAAAGGACAGAGAGAGAGAGAGAGAGAGACAUGGACCGAGAGUGCAUCACACGAGGGGUCAGGAGGAGAUGAAUAGAUCUACCCCACCUACCCAACGGACCCAUGGACCUUUUUGACCCCUCACCCCUGCAGCGAUUGGCUCUCCUGGUGUUGUGGCAGGGCCUGGCGUUGGGACUGAGCAGUUCUGCCUUGUGGUACCAAGUGGAGAGGAGAGACAGAGACAGGGCUGUGACCUGGAUCCAGGCCAGGCGGUUCUGUCAGAGGCACUACGUUGACCUGGCUGUCCUAAGCACCCAGGAUCAGUACCAGUUCCUUCUGCAGACCAUGGCUGCAGGUGAGAGGGACACGUUCUGGCUGGGUCUGCAGCCCCACACUGCCCCUGGUGGCUGGGGGUGGAUGUGGGUGGAUGGCCAGGGGCUGAGCUAUGAUCGCUGGUAUAUAAAGAGUCCUGGACCUGGACUCUGUGGUUGUCUGGAGACCAGCCUCAAAGGGGAGAAUAAACUACUGUCCAGAUCCUGUGGCGAGACCGUGGAACGACAUGGUUUCAUCUGCCAAGGCGCUGUACCCCCUGAGCGGCUAAAGGCGGAGUCUGAAGGGACUGAUCAUGUGACUGUGCAUUGGGACACGCCCCCUCUGAUGCAGACAGCUGAUCAUAGCUACAGAAUUACCACAUGUAGCUUCCAGCCUCACCCUCAUCUUUCUCUCCUCCACCCUUCUCUCCCUCCUUGCCACACCCCUCCUCUUUUCCUCUGUCCUUUCCCCCACCCCCCUCAUCCCACCACCCCAUGUUGCGUCCUCCACCUCCCCUACUCCAACAGUUCCACCUCCCACUCCACCCGGAUCUCUGGCCUAACCCCGGGAAUCCAGUACACCAUCAGCGUUGCCACAGUGAUCACGCGCCCAGAUCCUGUCACCGGUGACAACAUCACCACCGACAGUGACCCAGUCACGGUGACCGUCACAACAAUAGGGGGCGGUGGUGGGCAGCAGGUGGUUGCCAUGGUACUGAGUGUGGUCAAGUUCAUCUAUCUGGCUGUCUUACUCUGCUUACUUUACCUCAUCCUGAAGAGAAAUGCUGUCCAGGCUCCUGAACUUGAUCUGGAAUCAGUAGAACUCCCUACUGAAGAAGAAUACAUUUUAGACAUGAUUAAAACUGGUCCUACAUCAGUUGAAUUCCCCGAUGAAGAAUGCAUUGUUGAGCUGCCACCUGAAGAAUAAAGCAUUGUCUGACUAGAACUGGUUCUAGAUCAGUGGUGCCCCCCCCUGGAGAAUGCAUUGUUGAGCUGCCACCUGAUUACAACUGGUUGUAGAUCAGAAAACAGCAGCUCUACCUGCCAAAUCUACCAGCUUUUCUUGAUAGUGUAAAGAUUAAUGGAGAAUAUAAAUACAAGCUGCAGACAGUAUGCGUUAUUAGUCUUGAUACAUACUUAUAAACAAAAUAGUUUUAUCUUAACAAGAUAUACCUGUUUAACUAUAAGUUUUUAGAAAAGUAUUGAUACACACUUAAGUGCAAAGUAGAUUUGUUAUUCUCAACAAGGAAUUAAUAAGCAUUGAGAAUUAGUUAAGCUGCCUCUUUAAUAAACAGGUUAGAAAAAUAGGUAUUUUGACCUCAAAACGACGUUUAGAAAAUUAUUUUAUUUAUUUAUUUGAUAUUUUACCACACAUUGUCAGUAGUCAUGAUUUUCAUGCUGGGUAUGGAAACAUGUUGCCUCCUUAUGCAUAUAGAUAGGAGAAAUGUACAUUAGUUGUAUGUCAUAAAGUAUGUAAUAUAUAUAGCCUUAGUUCACAAAUGACACCCUAUUCGCUACAUAGUGCACUACUUUAGACCAGAUCCUUAUGGCACCGUAUUCCCUACAUAGUGCACUACUUUAGACCAGAUCCUUAUGGCACCGUAUUCCC